RNAcentral lists this ribosomal RNA (509 nucleotides) under uncultured bacterium. RNAcentral describes it as "bacterial SSU rRNA". It matches the Rfam family "Bacterial small subunit ribosomal RNA", at positions 29 to 526 of the family's 1533-position model. The record is from RNAcentral.
AUUGAACGCUGGCGGCAGGCCUAACACAUGCAAGUCGAGCGGCAGCGGGGGGAAGCUUGCUUCCUCGCCGGCGAGCGGCGGACGGGUGAGUAAUGUCUGGGAAACUGCCCGAUGGAGGGGGAUAACUACUGGAAACGGUAGCUAAUACCGCAUAACGUCGAAAGACCAAAGUGGGGGACCUUCGGGCCUCACACCAUCGGAUGAACCCAGAUGGGAUUAGCUAGUAGGCGGGGUAAAGGCCCACCUAGGCGACGAUCUCUAGCUGGUCUGAGAGGAUGACCAGCCACACUGGAACUGAGACACGGUCCAGACUCCUACGGGAGGCAGCAGUGGGGAAUAUUGCACAAUGGGGGAAACCCUGAUGCAGCCAUGCCGCGUGUAUGAAGAAGGCCUUCGGGUUGUAAAGCACUUUCAGCGAGGAGGAAGGCGUUGUAGUUAAUAACUGCAGCGAUUGACGUUACUCGCAGAAGAAGCACCGGCUAACUCCGUGCCAGCAGCCGCAGUAACAC